UAGGGAAUUUUCCGCAAUGGGCGCAAGCCUGACGGAGCAACGCCGCGUGAGGGAUGAAGGUUUUCGGAUCGUAAACCUCUGUCUUCAGGGACGAUAAUGACGGUACCUGAGGAGGAAGCCACGGCUAACUACGUGCCAGCAGCCGCGGUAAUACGUAGGUGGCGAGCGUUGUCCGGAAUUACUGGGCGUAAAGGGCGUGUAGGCGGCCUUUUAAGUCAGAUGUGAAAUCUCAGGGCUUAACCCUGAAACUGCAUUUGAAACUGGAGGGCUUGAGGAUCGGAGAGGGCAGUGGAAUUCCCAGUGUAGCGGUGAAAUGCGUAGAUAUUGGGAGGAACACCAGUGGCGAAGGCGACUGCCUGGACGACACCUGACGCUGAGGCGCGAAAGCUAGGGGAGCGAACG
Molecule: ribosomal RNA, 402 nt
Filed under: uncultured Hydrogenispora sp.
Lineage: Bacteria; Bacillati; Bacillota
Description: bacterial SSU rRNA
Rfam family: Bacterial small subunit ribosomal RNA
Source: RNAcentral